Long non-coding RNA from Hyla sarda, 1511 nucleotides. RefSeq lists it as uncharacterized. NCBI's taxonomy places the organism in Eukaryota, Metazoa, Chordata, Amphibia, Anura, Hylidae. The record is from RefSeq and is a predicted model, not a curated record. The transcript is spliced from 11 exons.
CUCGUCUUCACUCGGGCGGGAUAGGUAAACUUCCCGCCGGCAGGGGGCGACAUAGCGCUAGCGGCGCUAAUGACAGGAGGCGGCGCCAUGAGCUUGCAGUGUCCAUUUUAUUUACAAGAGCUCUGAGUAUAUAUCACAACCAUGGUAUGCUACUUUCAAAUCACAACUUAGAAAUCUAAAGCUUGAUUGUCUAAAAUGCAAGAGAUGAAGCUGCGCACAUGGGAAACUUGGGUUGAAACUUUUGGGUGCUGGCAUGCACUUCCAGUCCACAAAGUAAAGGACCCAGAAAACAUCUAUUGGAAGAAAAACAAAUUAUCUUAUUGAUUGCUUUAACUGGUGCCCUAAAACUACCUGCAAUGAAAGUAGACGUGGCUUCCACAGCAGCCUAGGUCAUCCCCAAAGGAUGUGGGGAUCCCCUCAGGCAGUCAUAGGCUUAACAAGUGGGGAACAGGAACAUUAGACCGGCAAUGGCCAGGGAAGCGCUGGACCAAUGGAAUUAGAAGAGAACAAACUCUUAUGGCAAUCAAAGAGUAGCGUUUAUUGGAAGCACAACAACGCGUUUCUGGCCCGGAAAGGGCCCUUCAUCAGGACAAACAAGACAAUGGAAAUGUUCGGUGAGGAAGAAUCCCUUUGUGAUAGAUGACAGAAAUGUCAAUUAGUAUGGAUGGAGAACAUGUUAUCUGUAUGCACGCAGCACCACAGAAGGUACCGGAGAACGGAGGAGAGCGCAGACACUUUUCGGGAAUUACACUUUCUGCUCCUGAGGCCACUAAGCUGAAAAUUGCCAUGGAAACAAACCCUGGCACACAACUGCCCCUAAGGAAUCUCCGGCUCUAGCUAUCACAGCUGCCAGUGUCAACACAAAAGUGAGGAGUACGAUACCUGGUCCUCUGUGCCUUUUCUCCAUCCAGAUGUAGCAGUUGUUCUGGGCUACACCAGUCUGAGAAUCGAGAAAGGGGAGGCGAACGCUGCGUUCUGCGCAUAGCCUUGCGUUGUAGUUGCGACAGUGCUCGAUAGCCUCUUUAUAGAACUGAUCCCCAAGUCUGCAAGAAAAAACAAUAAUACAUGAAUUUCGAUCAACUUACAAAUUGAAAGCCCGAUACCAACGCCUGACACCUAGUCUGUAGACAUUUGAAUGAAGCCGUACUGCGUAAUGCAGGUUUCUUAAACCUUUAAUUCCUGACAACUGUUGCAGUGUGACAGGGCAUAUUUGGUUGCUAAAAGAGGCCAUUGCUAUUAGAAAAUACUGUAUACUUGGACUGAACCCUGCCUUCUUCCCAGUGUGUAUCCUGGUCCCAUUUCUUCCUCAGGUACCGAUGACACACCACGAGACCUGAUGUUUUGGAGAUACUUUGACCCAGUUGUCCAGCCAUCACACUUCAGCCCUUUUCAAGGUUGCUCAGAUCCUUACACUUUGCCCUAUUUCCUGCUUAUACCACAUCAACUUCAACAUCUGACUGUUCUCUUACAUUGCAUGUACAUACAAAUGUUAUAGAAACAUGUAUGUUGCG